This 85-nucleotide transfer RNA is filed under the name Felis catus (domestic cat). It matches the Rfam family "tRNA". From Rfam's summary of the family: Transfer RNA (tRNA) molecules are approximately 80 nucleotides in length. Their secondary structure includes four short double-helical elements and three loops (D, anti-codon, and T loops). The record is from Rfam by way of RNAcentral. Lineage: Eukaryota; Metazoa; Chordata; Mammalia; Carnivora; Felidae. RNAcentral also lists the same sequence under 1 other name.
GCCUGGGUGGCUCAGUCGGUUGGGCGUCUGACUUCGGCUCAGGUCAUGAUCUCACAAUCCGUGGGUUCGAGCCCCGCGUCGGGUU